UCCGGUUGAUCCUGCCGGACCUGACUGCUAUCGGAUUGAUACUAAGCCAUGCGAGUCAUUGUAGCAAUACAAGGCAGACGGCUCAGUAACGCGUAGUCAAUCUACCCUAUGGACGGAGAUAAUCUCGGGAAACUGAGAAUAAUAUCCGAUAGAACAUUAUGCCUGGAAUGGUUUAUGUUUCAAAUGAUUUAUCGCCAUAGGAUGGGACUGCGUCCUAUCAGUUUGUUGGUGAGGUAAUGGCCCACCAAGACUAUUACAGGUACGGGCUCUGAGAGGAGUAGCCCGGAGAUGGGUACUGAGACACGGACCCAGGCCCUAUGGGGCGCAGCAGGCGAGAAAACUUUGCAAUGUGCGAAAGCACGACAAGGUUAAUCCGAGUGGUUUCUGCUAAAGAGACCUUUUGUCAGUCCUAGAAACACUAACGAAUAAGGGGUGGGCAAGUUCUGGUGUCAGCCGCCGCGGUAAAACCAGCACCUCAAGUGGUCAGGAUGAUUAUUGGGCCUAAAGCAUCCGUAGCUUGCUUUGUAAGUUCUCGGUUAAAUCCAUACGCUUAACGUAUGGGCUGCCGGCAAUACUGCAAAGCUAGGGAGUGGGAGAGGUAGACGGUACUCGGUAGGAAGGGGUAAAAUCCCUUGAUCUAUUGAUGACCACCUGUGGCGAAGGCGGUCUACCAGAACACGUCCGACGGUGAGGGAUGAAAGCUGGGGGAGCAAACCGGAUUAGAUACCCGGGUAGUCCCAGCUGUAAACAAUGCAAACUCAGUGAUGCAUUGGCUUGUGGCCAAUGCAGUGCUGCAGGGAAGCCGUUAAGUUUGCCGCCUGGGAAGUACGUACGCAAGUAUGAAACUUAAAGGAAUUGGCGGGGGAGCACCACAGGGGGUGAAGCCUGCGGUUCAAUUGGAUUCAACGCC
This 910-nucleotide ribosomal RNA is filed under the name uncultured archaeon. RNAcentral describes it as "bacterial SSU rRNA". It matches the Rfam family "Archaeal small subunit ribosomal RNA", at positions 1 to 919 of the family's 1478-position model. The record is from RNAcentral.